Molecule: RNA transcript, 1806 nt
Organism: Papaver somniferum (opium poppy)
Lineage: Eukaryota; Viridiplantae; Streptophyta; Magnoliopsida; Ranunculales; Papaveraceae
Exons: 6
Source: RefSeq, a predicted model, not a curated record
AGUUUUUGAUACAGUGGAUUGCAAACAGAUUCAAUUUUGUGUUUGUUUCUUUGAAUCAAUAAAAUCUAACCCUUUUUCUUUUUUUAUUUUAUUUUGCAGGUACGAUUUUUGUCCAAGAUAAGUUACGGAGAAACCCUAAUAGCCAUUCAAGGUACGAUUUUUGUCCAAGAUAAGUUACGGAGAAACCCAUUCAAGAUUACAGAGAGGGUUGUUACUAUGCUAAUAUAUGAACUACUUUGAAUCUAUAAAUCUCAACGAAAUGUCAUACCUUCUAUAUUGACCUGUGUAUAGUAUUCGUAAGUACCACAAGGACAUGAAAAAUCUGGAAGAAAUUGAUAAGAGGUACAAAGAUCUGUCAAGAAGAAAAGUUGAAAAGAGGGUUCCAAAUUUUUUGGAACUGGAAACUCAGAAGGAAAAAGAACCACUAUAGGAAAAUUAAGCCUAAAAAUGUCUAUGAAUGAAUUAGGGUUUGCUGAAGAUGGGUAAAUUGAAGGAUCGGGUGAUGAUAAUGAAAUUCAAGGGUUUGUGGUCGUUGUUGGGUGGAUGAAUUGAUUUCUAAAAUUGGGUUUGUAUCGAUGAAAUUGGGUAUGUGCUGUUCUGAUUGAAUUUUUGUGGUUGUUUACAGGAUUUGAGCUGGAAAUGUAUGGAUAGCAACAUGGACUGGACUGGUGGUUUUGAUCGAGCUUUUGGUGGAGUAUUGCAAUGAGAAGUUGAACUAUGUAUGUGUUUGAUGAAUGAUAUAGAAAUGGGUUGUGAAUGAAUGUAAAAUUGCAGACAAGGAGAUAUAAUGGAAAUCAAGCUUACCUUAUGUGUUGGAAAUCAAGCUUACCUUAUGUGUUUGAUGUAUGUGUUGGAAAUCAAGCUUACCUUAAUUCAAAAAUGUCGAUACUCACUCCAGUAAAUUGUACCUCAUGCGGAAGAUUGGAGGCUAAGAUGUUUGGAUUUACAAGUAGACACUGGAGGGUUUUCCUAUAUCAAGUGUGUUUACGAUUAAUGUUGGUACGAGAAUAAAACUGUUAAUAAAUCAUUUUAGCUCUCAGUUCUUUUAUCAAGCGUGUGUAUGCAAUUGGCAGGCAGGUACUCACUGGGCUUCACAAAAGGGACAAAGCUCUCUACAAUGCAUACAAGACCGAAUGCCAAAAGUGGUACGGAAAGCUUGAGACAUUUGAGAAAAGGUGUAAGACUAAGUUUGGAGCGGGAGAAUAGAAGAGCAGCAUAUGUAAAUGUGGUUUUAAAGACCAAGUUUAGUAAGUUGGAUAGCCAAACAGUCUUGCGGAUUAAAAAAUAAGGUGGUUCUAAGGGUAAGCUCCAUUAUUUCUCUAUUGCUAAAUGUUAAUGGCAUUGCAUUUGCUUCUGGAAGCAUGUGGAUGUGGGUUUCUUAACUUUUUUCAUAUUUUAUAGAUGACGUGUUUACUUGCAGAACGUGCACACCAAAUGUCGGCAUCAGGUUGGGCUUAUGUUUUCUUUUCAUAUUCUCACUAAAAAAUGUUGAUCAUAUAUGUAGGUUGCAGGAAGCAUUGGUGGUCAUUUUAAUCGUCUUGAGUAGUAAUACCGUGGAGAUAUUUGCUUUUGUUGAGUAUAAAGUACCUAGAAACUGUUGUAUUAUGGUUACAUUAAAUUUACCCAUGUGCGAGAAAUCCUUCAAUUUUAAUAGCCAUUGUUGUUUUUCCAUUUUUUCGAGUUGAAGAAAAUGUAGGUUUAGAGUGGUUGAUAAACAACAAAAAAAAAAAACAGCCAAAUGCAAAACACAAUAUAAUUGAUUACAUAAUAAGAUAAAAACACAUAAGAACAUAAGCUAAAAAUAAG